AACAGGAUUAGAUACCCUGGUAGUCCACGCCGUAAACGAUGAUUACUAGCUGUUUGCGAUAAGACAGUAAGCGGCUAAGCGAAAGCGAUAAGUAAUCCACCUGGGGAGUACGCCGGCAACGGUGAAACUCAAAGGAAUUGACGGGGGCCCGCACAAGCGGAGGAACAUGUGGUUUAAUUCGAUGAUACGCGAGGAACCUUACCCGGGCUUGAAAUGCAUCUGACGGUUUGGGAAACCAGACUUCUAGCAAUAGCAGAUGUGUAGGUGCUGCAUGGUUGUCGUCAGCUCGUGCCGUGAGGUGUCGGCUUAAGUGCCAUAACGAGCGCAACCCACAUUGUUAGUUACUAACAGGUCAAGCUGAGGACUCUGACAAGACUGCCAGCGUAAGCUGCGAGGAAGGUGUGGAUGACGUCAAAUCAGCACGGCCCUUACGUCCGGGGCGACACACGAGUUACAAUGGGAGGUACAAAGGGCUGCUACCAGGUGACUGGAUGCCAAUCCCCAAAACCUCUCCCAGUUCGGAUCGGAGUCUGCAACCCGACUCCGUGAAGCUGGAUUCGCUAGUAAUCGCGCAUCAGCCAUGGCGCGGUGAAUACGUUCCCGGGCCUUGUACACACCGCCCGUCAAGCCAUGGGAGCCGGGGGUGCCUGAAGUACGUAACCGCUAAGGAGCGUCCUAGGGCAAAACUGGUGACUGGGGCUAAGUCGUAACAAGGUAACC
Molecule: ribosomal RNA, 720 nt
Filed under: uncultured bacterium
Lineage: Bacteria
Description: bacterial SSU rRNA
Rfam family: Bacterial small subunit ribosomal RNA
Source: RNAcentral